CGCCGAGUCACCCACGUAGCCUCCGGCUGGGUCGAUACCGUGUUCAUCGCUGAUCACUUCCCAAAACUUGAGAAGGGCAAGGCGGGGGAACAGAAGGGGCCACGGAAAGGCAGGCCAAUUCAGCAGAACGAACUAAGCCCUCUCUGGGGACUUGGAGACAACUCUGCCUAUGCAAGUCAUGGCUCCGUAUUUCUUUUAUAACAUGGUACAGCCCUGACCUCUCUCUGAACUCCAGUCCUCCCGCUUCCCCAUGUUUUCUGAACAGUCCCUCCUGGGCACCUGCUCCCUUCUCACCUUCCAGCAGAUUCCCAUUGGACAUGACAUCACCAGACAGGAAAUGUUCAUGUGACCUCCCCGUAUGACUUGGUGACUGCUAGCUAAAUGAUGCCAUUGUCUGAGCCAUGGUCUGACA
Lontra canadensis (Northern American river otter) is the source of this 412-nucleotide long non-coding RNA. RefSeq lists it as uncharacterized. The transcript has 4 exons. Lineage: Eukaryota; Metazoa; Chordata; Mammalia; Carnivora; Mustelidae. The record is from RefSeq and is a predicted model, not a curated record.